RNAcentral lists this ribosomal RNA (497 nucleotides) under uncultured bacterium. RNAcentral's name for it is "partial 16S ribosomal RNA". It matches the Rfam family "Bacterial small subunit ribosomal RNA", at positions 28 to 507 of the family's 1533-position model. The record is from RNAcentral.
GAUGAACGCUGGCGGCGUGCCUAAUACAUGCAAGUCGAGCGAACGGACGAGAAGCUUGCUUCUCUGAUGUUAGCGGCGGACGGGUGAGUAACACGUGGAUAACCUACCUAUAAGACUGGGAUAACUUCGGGAAACCGGAGCUAAUACCGGAUGAUAUUUUGAACCGCAUGGUUCAAAAGUGAAAGACGGUCUUGCUAUCACUUAUAGAUGGAUCCGCGCUGCAUUAGCUAGUUGGUAAGGUAACGGCUUACCAAGGCAACGACGCAUAGCCGACCUGAGAGGGUGAUCGGCCACACUGGAACUGAGACACGGUCCAGACUCCUACGGGAGGCAGCAGUAGGGAAUCUUCCGCAAUGGGCGAAAGCCUGACGGAGCAACGCCGCGUGAGUGAUGAAGGUCUUCGGAUCGUAAAACUCUGUUAUUAGGGAAGAACAUAUGUGUAAGUAACUGUGCACAUCUUGACGGUACCUAAUCAGAAAGCCACGGCUAACUACGUG